CGUUAGCGGCGGACGGGUGAGUAACACUUGGGUGACCUACCUAUAAGACUGGGAUAACUCCGGGAAACCGGGGCUAAUACCGGAUAAUACAUGAAACCGCAUGGUUUCAUGAUGAAAGACGGUUUUGCUGUCACUUAUAGAUGGACCCGCGGCGUAUUAGCUAGUUGGUAAGGUAACGGCUUACCAAGGCAACGAUACGUAGCCGACCUGAGAGGGUGAUCGGCCACACUGGAACUGAGACACGGUCCAGACUCCUACGGGAGGCAGCAGCA
This 272-nucleotide ribosomal RNA is filed under the name uncultured Staphylococcus sp. Its description in RNAcentral is "partial 16S ribosomal RNA". It matches the Rfam family "Bacterial small subunit ribosomal RNA", at positions 90 to 355 of the family's 1533-position model. Lineage: Bacteria; Bacillati; Bacillota; Bacilli; Caryophanales; Staphylococcaceae. The record is from RNAcentral.